CGGGGUGAGUAACGCGUGGGUAACCUGCCUCAUACAGGGGGAUAACAGUUAGAAAUGACUGCUAAUACCGCAUAAGCGCACGAGAUCGCAUGAUAAAGUGUGAAAAACUCCGGUGGUAUGAGAUGGACCCGCGUCUGAUUAGCUGGUUGGUGGGGUAACGGCCCACCAAGGCGACGAUCAGUAGCCGACCUGAGAGGGUGACCGGCCACAUUGGGACUGAGACACGGCCCAAACUCCUACGGAAGGCAGCAG
This 252-nucleotide ribosomal RNA is filed under the name uncultured bacterium. Its description in RNAcentral is "partial 16S ribosomal RNA". It matches the Rfam family "Bacterial small subunit ribosomal RNA", at positions 100 to 354 of the family's 1533-position model. The record is from RNAcentral.